GAUAAACUUCAUGAUGACACCAUUUUUGGCAUACUGGCACAAUGCUUCGAUAAGGGUUUCAACUGAAACAUGUACAUCAUCCUGCCGGCAAGAAAGCAAGCUCUGUGUCUGCGUGGGGAAGAUCACAGUUUCACUGUACUGCAUUCCAGAAAUAGCAGGGAAAUUUGUCAAGGUUUUCUGUACAUUCUCUCCUUUUCUCCUACAUACGAACCUAUGCAAUCUUCUAAGAACAGGGAGAGAUGCCAAAAUGAACACAGUGAUGUAAUGGUCUGUGAUGCUGGGAACAGUCAGAGGCUACAUCCUGCACACUGUCUCAAGCAUAAAUGUAUGCUAUUAACUGCAUUACUUUAAGGAACACCAGCAAGUGAGUAUCAAACUGCUUCCCACUGACCCUCAAAGUCUCUAAGUUUCAUCUGCAGCUAAAAAAGAGUGCCUGUUUCCUUGAGAGAGAC
RNAcentral lists this long non-coding RNA (452 nucleotides) under Coturnix japonica (Japanese quail). RNAcentral's name for it is "lncRNA (ENSCJPG00005017179.1)". Lineage: Eukaryota; Metazoa; Chordata; Aves; Galliformes; Phasianidae. The record is from RNAcentral.